This 460-nucleotide ribosomal RNA is filed under the name uncultured bacterium. RNAcentral's name for it is "partial 16S ribosomal RNA". It matches the Rfam family "Bacterial small subunit ribosomal RNA", at positions 338 to 795 of the family's 1533-position model. The record is from RNAcentral.
CCUACGGGUGGCAGCAGUGAGGAAUAUUGGUCAAUGGGCUUACGCCUGAACCAGCAAAGUCGCGUGAGGGAAGACUGCCCUAUGGGUUGUAAACCUCUUUUGUCAGGGAGCACCGCCGGCUACGUGUAGCCGGUCUGAGAGUACCUGAAGAAAAAGCAUCGGCAAACUACGUGACAGCAGCCGCGGUUAUACGGAGGAUGCGAGCGUUAUACGGAUUUCUGGGGUUAAAAGGGUGCGUAGGCGGAAUGCCACGUCAGCGGGAAAAUCGCGGGGCUCAACCGCGAUCCGCCGUUGAAACUGGCGUUCUUGAGCGGGCGAGAAGUAUGCGGAAUGCGUGGUGUAGCGGUGAAAUGCAUAGAUAUCACGCAGAACACCGAUUGCGAAGGCAGCAUACCGGCGCCCAACUGACGCUGAAGCACGAAAGCGUGGGUAUCGAACAGGAUUAGAUACCCUGGUAGUC